AUUGAACGCUGGCGGAAUGCUUUACACAUGCAAGUCGAGCGGCAGCGCGGGGGCAACCCUGGCGGCGAGCGGCGAACGGGUGAGUAACGCAUCGGAACGUACCUUGUAGUGGGGGAUAACUAUCCGAAAGGAUAGCUAAUACCGCAUACGCCCUGAGGGGGAAAGGGGGGGAUCGCAAGACCUCUCGCUACAGGAGCGGCCGAUGUCCGAUUAACUAGUUGGUGAGGUAAAGGCUCACCAAGGCGACGAUCGGUAGCUGGUCUGAGAGGAUGAUCAGCCACACUGGGACUGAGACACGGCCCAGACUCCUACGGGAGGCAGCAGUGGGAAUUUGGACAAUGGGGGCAACCCUGAUCCAGCCAUUCCGCGUGAGUGAAGAAGGCCUCGGGUUG
RNAcentral lists this ribosomal RNA (392 nucleotides) under uncultured bacterium. Its description in RNAcentral is "bacterial SSU rRNA". It matches the Rfam family "Bacterial small subunit ribosomal RNA", at positions 29 to 425 of the family's 1533-position model. The record is from RNAcentral.